RNAcentral lists this ribosomal RNA (468 nucleotides) under uncultured bacterium. Its description in RNAcentral is "partial 16S ribosomal RNA". It matches the Rfam family "Bacterial small subunit ribosomal RNA", at positions 28 to 507 of the family's 1533-position model. The record is from RNAcentral.
GACGAACGCUGGCGGCGUGCUUAACACACGCAAGUCGAACGGAAAGGCCCUGCUUUUGUGGGGUGCUCGAGUGGCGAACGGGUGAGUAACACGUGAGUAACCUGCCCUUGACUUUGGGGUAACUUCAGGAAACUGGGGCUAAUACCGGAUAGGAGCUCCUGCUGCAUGGUGGGGGUUGGAAAGUUUCGGCGGUUGGGGAUGGACUCGCGGCUUAUCAGCUUGUUGGUGGGGUAGUGGCUUACCAAGGCUUUGACGGGUAGCCGGCCUGAGAGGGUGACCGGCCACAUUGGGACUGAGAUACGGCCCAGACUCCUACGGGAGGCAGCAGUGGGGAAUAUUGCACAAUGGGCGGAAGCCUGAUGCAGCAACGCCGCGUGCGGGAUGACGGCCUUCGGGUUGUAAACCGCUUUCGCCUGUGACGAAGCGUGAGUGACGGUAAUGGGUAAAGAAGCACCGGCUAACUACGUG